UAGAGUAUAACGUAAGAAUUGUAUAUAUGCCACUUGUUUUGUACAUCCAACUAGCGUGAAUGAGAACCAAGGCCACACCACAGCGCUUUGGAUUUUAUGUUGAAAUCAACGCCUCGUUAUCGUCCACUCAUUACAAGACUUAUAAAUCCACCCAAAAUUCCUCAACUUCUCGUUCGACCCUCUCUCUCUCUCUCUCUCUCUCUCUCUCUCUAUCUCUAUCUCUCUUGCAUUUCGUAAGCAUCUGAUUUUCAGUCAUGAGCCACUUUGAUCAGCAGCAAGCUCCUGGGGCAUAUCCCCCACCUGUGACUGCAUAUCCGCCAAGCUAUGGGCAUCCACAGGCAGUAGUAGAUCAGGGCAACGUUCAAGCUCCUAAUUAUGUUGCACCACCUCCACCAAUUGGUUACCCAACCCGUGGUACUGACCCUACAGCAGGGUAUCCCCAACACAUGCCUCCCGUUGAAA
Molecule: long non-coding RNA, 462 nt
Organism: Juglans microcarpa x Juglans regia
Lineage: Eukaryota; Viridiplantae; Streptophyta; Magnoliopsida; Fagales; Juglandaceae
Exons: 2
Source: RefSeq, a predicted model, not a curated record